AAAAGCAGGGGAUCGCAAGACCUUGCGCUCUUGGAGCGGCCGAUGCCUGAUUAGCUAGUUGGUGAGGUAAAGGCUUACCAAGGCGACGAUCAGUAGCUGGUCUGAGAGGACGACCAGCCACACUGGGACUGAGACACGGCCCAGACUCCUACGGGAGGCAGCAGUGGGGAAUUUUGGACAAUGGGGGAAACCCUGAUCCAGCCAUGCCGCGUGAGUGAAGAAGGCCUUCGGGUUGUAAAGCUCUUUCAGCCGGAACGAAACGGUCACGGCUAAUACCUGUGACUACUGACGGUACCGGAAGAAGAAG
RNAcentral lists this ribosomal RNA (307 nucleotides) under Nitrosospira sp. Its description in RNAcentral is "bacterial SSU rRNA". It matches the Rfam family "Bacterial small subunit ribosomal RNA", at positions 202 to 490 of the family's 1533-position model. Lineage: Bacteria; Pseudomonadati; Pseudomonadota; Betaproteobacteria; Nitrosomonadales; Nitrosomonadaceae. The record is from RNAcentral.